This 471-nucleotide ribosomal RNA is filed under the name uncultured bacterium. RNAcentral's name for it is "bacterial SSU rRNA". It matches the Rfam family "Bacterial small subunit ribosomal RNA", at positions 329 to 793 of the family's 1533-position model. The record is from RNAcentral.
CAGAGCACUCCUACGGGAGGCAGCAGUGGGGAAUAUUGCACAAUGGGGGAAACCCUGAUGCAGCCAUGCCGCGUGUGUGAAGAAGGGUUUCGGCUCGUAAAACUCUGUUGUUAAAGAAGAACAUAUCUGAGAGUAACUGUUCAGGUAUUGACGGUAUUUAACCAGAAAGCCACGGCUAACUACGUGCCAGCAGCCGCGGUAAUACGUAGGUGGCAAGCGUUGUCCGGAUUUAUUGGGCGUAAAGCGAGCGCAGGCGGUUUUUAAGUCUGAUGUGAAAGCCUUCGGCUCAACCGAAGAAGUGCAUCGGAAACUGGGAAACUUGAGUGCAGAAGAGGACAGUGGAACUCCAUGUGUAGCGGUGAAAUGCGUAGAUAUAUGGAAGAACACCAGUGGCGAAGGCGGCUGUCUGGUCUGUAACUGACGCUGAGGCUCGAAAGUAUGGGUAGCAAACAGGGUUAGAUACCCUGGUAG